UCCUCUCUGUUCUUCCUUCUUGCGCCGGCCAUGGUUGCUUCUGCUUCUGUUCGUUCUGGACUCCGCCGUCGGGGUCAUCCUCCUGGGAUUCGGGCCUCCAUUAUUGCCCGUGUUCGCCGUACUCGCAUGCAUGUUCCUUCUAUCGAUUCUUCGUCGGUGACACCAGCAGCUGCUAUGCGUCGCCAGUUUGCUGGAGUUGAUUCAGGGAGGCGUUCCCGCUCCGCGGCGGCUUGCCGGCCGCUCCGUUCUCGCCGGCCUGCAUUCUGACUCGGAGCAGUUUCUUGAUGGAGAUUUUCAUAGCCGCGGUCGGGAGAUUUUGUUAGGGAAGCGGUUUGUUGACUGUACUGUUGAUUCUACCAUCAGUGGUGCUUCCUCUUUCGUCUGUCAUGGCCUUCCGUCUGCUAUUCGGUCUGCUGGUGUGCGAACUGACUCCUUGGUGGUGCAGAUGAUUGACAGACCAACUGAGUCCCACCAUUAGUGUCGGUUCUUCUUUUGCGGUUGAUGGCCUUCCGCCUGCUGCUCGGCUCGCCAGUGUGCGAACGGAUUCCUCGGUCGUGCAGAUGACUGACAGAUCGAUUGGUCGUCCUUCCGAUCUCCUGCUGGUCUCCAUCUUGAUCGUUAUUUACUUGGUGCUCUGUCUGUGGUCAACCAUCCAAGAGUGGUGCCCCUUCGUGCGGCUGGUGCCGUCGGACGGUGACUCACUCACCUGUACAUGCUCUAUAUAUUACCAGUUGUACACUCACGGGCAAGAUCACCUGAGUACACCACAAUGGACGAAGCCUACCGUCCCCAAUGAGCAUCCUCCAUAGGAAAGCAAGUUAAGAAGAAGGGUAAUCAUCCGGCUCUAAAUUUUAUGCAUGGGAGCGGAAGCAGCUCGGUAAACUCUUGGCUUCACCUAACUCUUUUUGUCUUAGUUUAUCCCUUGCAAGCAAGCAAUUUACUACUCCCUCCGUCUCAAAAUUCUUGUCUUAAAUUUGUCUAAAUACGGAUGUAUCAAGUCAUAUUUUAGUAUUAUAUACAUCCGUAUCUAGAAAAAUGUAAGACAAGAAUUUUGGAACGGAGGGAGUAUAUUACAAAUCCUUCUAUGCAGGAGGAGAAUCUUAUAGUAUACAUUUCAAGACGACCAAUGCUUGAAACAGUGACUGAAACAGUUGGUCUAGAAGUACAAGGCUACACAUGUUGGUAUGCUCAUGAAGGUAUGAUACAAGCGUCUGUACUAAUUGCUCUGCCACGUCAGAAAGAUAGUUUCAGAGAAUCCUCCAUUACAUAUGAAGGAGAAACAACUAAUUAAGAAGAUGAAGCAAUGGAAAAGGCAGCUCAGGUGGCCUUAGAAUGCAUCUGCGCAGAUUAUAAUAUUUCUAUCAAUGACCAUAAUUACUACGCCCUUGAAGUAACAAAAGAAAGGUUGUUUAUAGCAAGACAGAAAGCUCAGACAAAACAAUGGCAAUUCAAUAUGGCCCGCCAGCAAGCAACUACACAGCAAAACGAGUUUGCAAGACAGACAAUGAUUCCGGCAAAGAUAUGCAGCAGCUUCUUUGAUGUAUUACCACUUCGCAUGUAUCCCAGCGCCCAGAUAGCGAUGAUCCCAUUAUCACAUACACAGGCGCGCAUCCUCCCGUCGGACGUGUGCAGGAAUUAACAAAAUCACUCUACCACUUUCUCACAGGCAUCAAUCCUGCAAGAGGAUAUACUAGGAUGAUCUAAUCCACUAGCAACUACUUCUAGCUCAUUUAUGUAGUGUGUUCGUAUUUUUAUAUACAGUUCUCUGUUUUCAGUGAACUGUAUGUAGUUUGAAUAACUGGUUUGCUUCUGAAGUAUGCUACUUUAAAUUUGUACCUUUGUAUCACUACAUUUCCAACAUUUCAAUAGCUUCGUAUGU
Triticum urartu is the source of this 1879-nucleotide long non-coding RNA. RefSeq lists it as uncharacterized. The record is from RefSeq and is a predicted model, not a curated record. NCBI's taxonomy places the organism in Eukaryota, Viridiplantae, Streptophyta, Magnoliopsida, Poales, Poaceae.